GGGAUUAUAGUUAAUUAUAACAUUUAAUUUGCACUUAAAAGGUAUUGAAAUCAAUUUUUCUCA
Molecule: transfer RNA, 63 nt
Filed under: Demonax pseudonotabilis
Lineage: Eukaryota; Metazoa; Arthropoda; Insecta; Coleoptera; Cerambycidae
Description: tRNA-Ala
Rfam family: tRNA
About the family: Transfer RNA (tRNA) molecules are approximately 80 nucleotides in length.
Source: RNAcentral